AGGCGGGAAUCACUAUGGUGACGUCACUACCUUCUCGUGCGACCCUGGGUACGAGCUGAGCGUGAGCGGCAGUAGGACGUGUCAGGCCGACCAGACCUGGAGCGGUACCGAACCCACCUGUACAGCGGUGACAUGUCCCGAUCUGGACGCGCCCCUGAACGGGAACAAAGUGGGCGGCAGCUCGUACGGCGACAUCGUCACCUUCUCCUGCUCGGCUGGGUACCAGCUCACGGGAAGCUCUACACUUACAUGUCAGCACAACCAACAGUGGAACGGCACACAGCCCUCCUGUACAAGAAAGGUAUGUCCGGUCCUGCCAGUGUUAGACCACGGUGUGUCAACAGGAGGACAUCUGUAUGGAGACAUCAUCACGUUCUCCUGUCUGCCUGGAUUCCAACUCCAUGGGAACCAGACCAGGCUGUGCAGGGCCGACCAGACAUGGAGUGGGACACAGCCCCGCUGU
This is a long non-coding RNA of Branchiostoma floridae (Florida lancelet), 463 nucleotides long. RefSeq lists it as uncharacterized. The record is from RefSeq and is a predicted model, not a curated record. The transcript is spliced from 3 exons. NCBI's taxonomy places the organism in Eukaryota, Metazoa, Chordata, Leptocardii, Amphioxiformes, Branchiostomatidae.